Molecule: long non-coding RNA, 3100 nt
Filed under: Bemisia tabaci
Lineage: Eukaryota; Metazoa; Arthropoda; Insecta; Hemiptera; Aleyrodidae
Description: lncRNA ENSSSA2NGG008905
Source: RNAcentral
UAACAUUGCAAGUAUGCCCUUCUCCAUUAUUUACAUGCAAUGCAACACAUCAGCCUAGGCAGCGUUUCGUACAACUCAACCGAUGCCACAGACGAAACCUUUUGAAAUAUUCUCAAUGGCACUUUUAUUAACUCAUUUUCUCAAAUGGAGCAAUGGCAUUAUCAGAAUCCAAAGAGCUUUAACUUACAAGCCCAGUCAGUAAUCUGAUGGCAUCAAGAUGUCAAGAUCUCAUAGCAAAGGGGACUUCACCGAGGAUCCAAACGACAACUCCGCCGGCCAAGAGGAGGAAGAUGCCGUCUUUAAAGCAAAAACAUUCUGGUCUGGUCAGGGCGAUAAUGAUUUAACUGUCCUUCCCAAUGACACCCUUGAAACAAAAGCUGCCAAUUUUUCAAAACCAGGCUGCAUCUAUGUCAUUAAUCGACGCACUGGUGCUCAAGGUUUUGUUCCAAAGUCCCUCGUGAAGAAAGAUUCGUUCAGUACUCACACUGCCAGAGUUGCAGAAACAAGCUACCAUGAUGAAAAGCCCAGCGGUGGAAGUGAACGUCGCGUCAGGUUUCAGUCACCACUCAAAGCCAGCUUGGAAGAAGUCGGUAAACGCUCACUGCCAACAGGGACCCAGAGCCAUCUCGGACAAAUGCACAGCUGGAAAACCGGGCCGAAUCCAAAGACAGCAAAAUUGAAGACAAGAACACCGGACACACCAAAUUAAAUGAUACGUACCAUAAAAUGGAUUACUUAAAUCUUUGCAAUACCGGUUGGAAAAGUCAGAGUCCUAAGUCGGGACUCAUGAGCAGGAUGGAACAUUCGGCCUACGUCGAUGUCAGCAAGAACGUCAUUACGAAAGGGUUACCCUCUUUCUCCAAAAUCAAGCUGCCUUCUUCACUUACACGGGGAGAGCAAUCUAGCGAAUACGUAGAGCACUGUCCAUCAGCUAAGUAUUCAGCAGAUGUUGCUCAGCCAUUCAAAUCAAAAUCAGGCACAGACACGAAGUUUUACCCGAGCGGUCCACCUCCAACAACGGCCAACUCUAGUUUAACCAAAAACUUACCGUACCGUAAUGCUCAGCAAAUAGGUAUCCCGAUCACCAAUGCAGAACCUACUUCUGCGUAUUUGCCGCAUGCUGUUCCCAAUUAUUACACAGAUCAACCUCAUCUAGCGCAUGAUAAACUUAAAGUUCCAGUUGCAGCACCCGGAAGUGUUAACUGUAACGUUUCGCAUGAACAUCAAUUGACAGGAGCCUACUUCAUAACUCCAAUUUUAUGCCGCCACUGUAACGAUUACAUCUGGGGUUGUGGAAUAGUUGGCCAUCGAUGUGAAAGUAAGUUUACUAAAUUUUUAUUUUUAUUUCACUAUUCUUUAUCACCUAUUUGACCUAUUUCCAUUAACAAUAUUUUCUGGGAACAUUUUUGAAAUGGCAAAGAGCAAUCAGACAGAAUUUUACUCAGUAGAGAAGAAUAGUUAAAUCUAUGAACAUGAUAUUAAGGCAGAAAAUAUAUUCACAGUCUGGAGAUUCAAGGUAUGAUUUGGCACAGAAAGAACUAAAGAGUUUUGUGAAAUUGAAUUCUAUUGAAGACUACCAAUCGCCUUGAACCCAUUUUUGUCGCGCGUUUAAACAAGAUGGAAAUGAAAAUAAGAAAAUUUGUCCCGAAAAUAGUGGGGAAAACCUGAUUUGAGAGCAGACCAGGCAAACUAAUUUUAAUUUUUUUGCUUUUUUGAGUGGCAUUCCCUUUUCAAUAUUCAGAGAUGAUCAUUUUGUAAGCAGUACCUUCAUGAAAUUGUCUCCUUACGGCCAAAGUGUCACAAGGGCCAUGCAAGGUUUCAAAAUUUCCGCCACCAUUUUAAUUUUUUACAGAGAAUCAGAAAGGAAGCUAUCCGAAAAUUUCAUUGAAUUUCCUUUGUGCUGCCGAUAAUAUUCAGUGAAAUUUUCAAGCAGAUAUAACCAAAAUUUUCUCGGUAAAAAAGUAAAAUGGCGGCGAAAAUUUCGAAACGUCGCAUGGCGCUGGUGAUACUUUGGCCAGAAUGUGACAAAAUCUCUGAGCACUGCGCGGGCGUUUUGCUAAAGAUUAAAAGAAGAGUAACCUAUUUAAAUUUUAUCUAUUUUGACCCCUGGACGAUUCUUGUAAGAGGUCUGCCAUAGCUGUGGUCACCCUGUCAAUAUUUUAGUUAAUACCUGAGGAUCCUACUGUUGAUUGAACUUAAAAUUUUGGGCCAUCAGUCUAUCUCCAUCAGCAUUUGUCUGCCCACCAUUGUUACUUCAUUUCUGGUUCAUAUUGACAAUGUGACAUUGAGAUUUUAACAAAAAUACUGAUUGUGUAACCAUGUCUCAUCUUUAUCCUGUGUGGGAUGUAUCAAUCCUUCAAGCACUAACUUGCUUUCACCUGUACAUUUUUCAAACAUGUUUCUUUUUAGAGUCUCGCAACUCAAAAAUUAAGUCUUGAAUUUUUUUUUCCAAGCCCUUUUUCAAGAAAAGGGACAAUAUUAAUCAGUACGAGUCAAACUCAUCUCAAAGUUUUUUUUUAUAUCUGAAAAAUUUAAAUUCCACAGUUUUUGCCCUAAUAUUCAAGUUAUCAGUUCCUUUAUAUCCUAAGCAUCUAUUCAAUUUUUCAGCCUUGAACGCAUUCUCCUUGAAAUCACAAUUACGACACUUAUUCUUUCCUCUGAAAUACCAUAUAAUUCGACUGCGUUUUGCAAAAACAAACCGAGAACGCUGCAAUGCUGAGAGUAGGCAACUAACUGACUAAGUAAUCUAACUGAAAGCAGUCAAAUGAAAUGUUCAAGGUUGUCUUCCUUGUCUAGCAUUCCUUUCGGAUCUUGAUUGUCUUUUUUUGCUCUUUCCCCUAGAAAAUACUGUUUUCAACUUUCUAAUGAACUUUUUAGUUUUUUCAUGAAAUUUUACACCAGUGAUACCAUACUACAACCUUGCAAAAGUCCUCGCCACUGCUUUCUUUAUCAGUGACAGUGACUGUUAAAAGUACUUAUCCCAAGCUCUCAAAACUGUCGAAAUUUUUGAAGAAGGCUACAGCUUUUUUUCUUCUUUAUGUAUGGUUGAAUUCACAUUUUAAACAUCUUUGAUUGACUACCUAACAUAUACAUAUGCAAG